CACUCAAUAUUCCAUGACACAAGACAAAUACUUGUAUGAAAACGUAAAGACUGUCUAAAUAAGGUUAGAGGGUUUUUCUUACUGGCAGAUAAAGCUGAGCAGGUUGAAGUUUGCAACUGGCAACUCAUGAAGAAGAUUCCUCAACUCCCCCAAAACCUGAGAGAGGAAGAAUAAGAGGAUGGGAGUCAGGAGUCUUAAUGUUUUAGUGCCAACGCCCUACACCUGUAAACACACCCAAACAGUGAUGUCACGGCGUCCUGGAGUACACUUGUACAUCACUGCAGCCAGGACUUGAAGCAGCUGAGUCCCAUGCUGCAGACGCUCAGCGCAGAUUACACACCACAACGACGACGGCGAUGUGAACAAUGUUUUUUUUUUUUUGCAGAAAGUUUAGAGGCUGAGACGGCAGCGGUGCAUAAAAUAUAAACACAUCACUUGUGAUUUUCUUUUUCGUCAGUCUCAGGUCCCAACGGUAUCACCACCCAGAGUAGAAAGACAUCCUGGUUGAUGUAUGGCCAUGAAGAGUUGUUCCUGAGGGCAAAAAAGCCUU
This is a long non-coding RNA of Sebastes umbrosus (honeycomb rockfish), 550 nucleotides long. RefSeq lists it as uncharacterized. The record is from RefSeq and is a predicted model, not a curated record. The transcript has 2 exons. Lineage: Eukaryota; Metazoa; Chordata; Actinopteri; Perciformes; Sebastidae.